GGUCCCAUGGUGUAAUGGUUAGCACUUUGGACUUUGAAUCCAGCGAUCCGAGUUCAAGUCUCGGUGGGGCCU
Molecule: transfer RNA, 72 nt
Filed under: Lytechinus variegatus (green sea urchin)
Lineage: Eukaryota; Metazoa; Echinodermata; Echinoidea; Temnopleuroida; Toxopneustidae
Description: tRNA-Gln
Rfam family: tRNA
About the family: Transfer RNA (tRNA) molecules are approximately 80 nucleotides in length. Their secondary structure includes four short double-helical elements and three loops (D, anti-codon, and T loops).
Source: RNAcentral